CCUAGGGGGUGCAGCAGUGGGGAAUAUUGGACAAUGGGCGAAAGCCUGAUCCAGCCAUGCCGCGUGUGUGAAGAAGGCCUUCGGGUUGUAAAGCACUUUCAGUGGGGAAGAAAGCCUUGGGGCUAAUACCCUCGAGGAAGGACAUCACCCACAGAAGAAGCACCGGCUAACUCCGUGCCAGCAGCCGCGGUAAUACGGAGGGUGCGAGCGUUAAUCGGAAUUACUGGGCGUAAAGCGCGCGUAGGCGGUCUGAUAAGCCGGUUGUGAAAGCCCCGGGCUCAACCUGGGAACGGCAUCCGGAACUGUCAGGCUAGAGUGCAGGAGAGGAAGGUAGAAUUCCCGGUGUAGCGGUGAAAUGCGUAGAGAUCGGGAGGAAUACCAGUGGCGAAGGCGGCCUUCUGGACUGACACUGACGCUGAGGUGCGAAAGCGUGGGUAGCAAACAGGAUUAGAUACCCGGGUAGUC
RNAcentral lists this ribosomal RNA (465 nucleotides) under Vreelandella stevensii. Its description in RNAcentral is "partial 16S ribosomal RNA". It matches the Rfam family "Bacterial small subunit ribosomal RNA", at positions 338 to 795 of the family's 1533-position model. Lineage: Bacteria; Pseudomonadati; Pseudomonadota; Gammaproteobacteria; Oceanospirillales; Halomonadaceae. The record is from RNAcentral.